GUUUUUAUAAUUUAAUUAAAAUAGUGAUCUUGUAAAUCAAAUUUGGACAUUAUCCUAGAAACU
Molecule: transfer RNA, 63 nt
Filed under: Archispirostreptus gigas (African giant black millipede)
Lineage: Eukaryota; Metazoa; Arthropoda; Diplopoda; Spirostreptida; Spirostreptidae
Description: tRNA-Thr
Source: RNAcentral